AUUGAACGCUGGCGGCAUGCCUUACACAUGCAAGUCGAACGGCAGCACGGGAGCAAUCCUGGUGGCGAGUGGCGAACGGGUGAGUAAUAUAUCGGAACGUGCCCAGUCGUGGGGGAUAACGUAGCGAAAGCUACGCUAAUACCGCAUACGAUCUAUGGAUGAAAGCGGGGGAUCGCCAGACCUCGCCCAGUUGGAGCGGCCGAUAUCAGAUUAGGUAGUUGGUGAGGUAAAGGCUCACCAAGCCGACGAUCUGUAGCUGGUCUGAGAGGUCGACCAGCCACACUGGGACUGAGACACGGCCCAGACUCCUACGGGAGGCAGCAGUGGGGAAUUUUGGACAAUGGGCGCAAGCCUGAUCCAGCAAUGCCGCGUGCAGGAUGAAGGCCUUCGGGUUGUAAACUGCUUUUGUACGGAACGAAACGGCGAGCUCUAAUACAGUUUGCUAAUGACGGUACCGUAAGAAUAAGCACCGGCUAACUACGUGCCAGCAGCCGCGGUAA
Molecule: ribosomal RNA, 500 nt
Filed under: uncultured bacterium
Lineage: Bacteria
Description: partial 16S ribosomal RNA
Rfam family: Bacterial small subunit ribosomal RNA
Source: RNAcentral